Alosa alosa (allis shad) is the source of this 263-nucleotide long non-coding RNA. RefSeq lists it as uncharacterized. The record is from RefSeq and is a predicted model, not a curated record. The transcript has 3 exons. NCBI's taxonomy places the organism in Eukaryota, Metazoa, Chordata, Actinopteri, Clupeiformes, Clupeidae.
GCUAGCCUAAUGUCUGGCAAGGUGUGUCCAAGAGAAGAGUCUCUUCUGUCUUGUCUUUUCACGAGCCGCGGCAUCAGCAAUUAACGGCCUACAGGACUUAUGGCGUCCGAAUCAGGUGUCAGGUGGACGUAAGGGGCCCUAACCUCGAUUCUGGUUGUCAUGGGGCUGUGAGCACAGACGUGUCCCCUCGCCUGGCGUUAGAUCACACACGGCCGGAGAGCAGAGACACGCCAAACCUCAUCCCCUGCAUCAGCUCCUCACAG